GAGAUAGAAUACGUCCAAGGCCAGGUGUUCUAAGCCUAAAGCCAGGAAGCUUGACUACUUCCCUAUCUCU
RNAcentral lists this transfer RNA (70 nucleotides) under Paralvinella palmiformis. Its description in RNAcentral is "tRNA-Ser". The record is from RNAcentral. Lineage: Eukaryota; Metazoa; Annelida; Polychaeta; Terebellida; Alvinellidae.